CGUGGCUAACCUGCCCUUGGGACGGGGACACCCCCGGGAAACUGGGGCUAAUCCCCGAUAGGUGAAGAUUCCUGGAAUGGGUUUUUGCCGAAAAGACGUUUAGGGCAUGCUUCUAAGCGUUGCCCAAGGAUGGGGCCGCGGCCGAUCAGGUUGUUGGUGAGGUAAUGGCUCACCAAGCCUUUAACCGGUUCGGGCCGUGGGAGCGGUAGCCCGGAGAUGGGCACUGAGACAAGGGCCCAGGCCCUACGGGGCGCAGCAGUCGCGAAAACUUCGCAAUAAGCGAAAGCUUGACGGGGCCAUCCCGAGUGCCAUCUGCUGAGGAUGGCUUUUACCCAGUGUAGAUAGCUGGGGGAAUAAGGAGAGGGCAAGUCUGGUGUCAGCCGCCGCGGUAAUACCAGCUCUCCGAGUUGUGGGGACGUUUAUUGAGCCUAAAGCAUCCGUAGCCGGCUGGGCAAGUCCUCUGUUAAAUCCAGCGACAAAUCGUUGGCCUGCGGGGGAUACUGCUCGGCUAGGGGGCGGGAGAGGCCGUCGGUAUUCUUGGGGUAGGGGUGAAAUCCUAUAAUCCCAAGAGGACCACCAGUGGCGAAGGCUGUCGGCUAGAACGCGCCCGACGGUGAGGGAUGAAAGCUGGGGGAGCGAACCGGAUUAGAUACCCGGGUAGUCCCAGCUGU
RNAcentral lists this ribosomal RNA (671 nucleotides) under uncultured archaeon. Its description in RNAcentral is "bacterial SSU rRNA". It matches the Rfam family "Archaeal small subunit ribosomal RNA", at positions 99 to 754 of the family's 1478-position model. The record is from RNAcentral.